GCUCCGUUGGUGAACCAGCGGAGGGAUCAUUACCGAGUUUACAACUCCCAAACCCCUGUGAACAUACCAUUUGUUGCCUCGGCGGUGCCUGCUUCGGCAGCCCGCCAGAGGACCCAAACCCUUGAUUUUAUACAGUAUCUUCUGAGUAAAUGAUUAAAUAAAUCAAAGCUUUCAACAACGGAUCUCUUGGUUCUG
RNAcentral lists this unclassified non-coding RNA (195 nucleotides) under plant metagenome. Its description in RNAcentral is "partial contains small subunit ribosomal RNA, internal transcribed spacer 1, and 5.8S ribosomal RNA". The record is from RNAcentral.